This 400-nucleotide ribosomal RNA is filed under the name phytoplankton environmental sample. RNAcentral describes it as "partial small subunit ribosomal RNA". It matches the Rfam family "Eukaryotic small subunit ribosomal RNA", at positions 587 to 989 of the family's 1831-position model. The record is from RNAcentral.
AGCUCCAAUAGCGUAUAUUAAAGUUGUUGCAGUUAAAAAGCUCGUAGUUGAAUUCAAAUCAUGCUGCUCACGGUUCGUGUUCAACACGCAACUAGAGUGGUGCGUUUUGGAAGUUGUGUUCUGCUGAUAAUGCUUUUUACCGAGUGUUAUUGGUGGCCAACAUGUUUACUUUGAAAAAAUUAGAGUGCUCAAAGCAGACUUUAGUCUGUAUACUGUUGCAUGGAAUAAUGAAAUAGGACUUCGGUUUUAUUUUGUUGGUUUCCACAAUUGAAGUAAUGAUUAAAAGGGACAGACGGGGGCAUUUGUAUGGCUGGGGGAGAGGUGAAAUUCUAAGAUCCUGGCCAGACAAACUACUGCGAAAGCAUUUGCCAAGAAUGUUUUCAUUAAUCAAGAACGAAAG